GCGCUGGCCGGGCGUGGCACCGGGGGUCUGCUGCAGCACCAGGGUGAUGCGCUUGGACUCGCCCUAGGACAGAUGGACAGAUGGACACUGGUCAGUCAAUGGUCAGUGUGAACAGUCACUAUGAGUGGUCAGUGUCAGGGGUCAAUGGUCAGUGUGGAUGGUCAGUAGUCAGUGGCCACUCAGGGGUCAGUGUGAAUGAUCACUAUGAGUAGUCAGUGUGGAUGGUCAGUGGUCAGUGUCAACAGCCAGUGGUAACUCAGUGGUCAAUGGUCAGUGUGAACGGUCACUAUGAGUGGUCAGUGUCAGUGGUCACUCAGUGGUCAGUGUGAGUGGUCACUAUGAGUGGUCAGUGUCAGUGGUCAGUGGGGAUGGACAUUGGGGUGGAGCUNAAAGUGACCACUCCCACAUUUAACUGACCACCACCCCUGGGUCUGAGUGACCAACCCCAGCCCAACUGACCACUCCAACCCCAAAGUGACCACUCCCAAAUUUAACUGACCACCACCCCUGUGUCUCAGUGACCCUCCCCAGCCCAACUGACCGCUCCCAAAUUUAACUGACCACUCCCAAAUUUACUGACCACUCCCAAACCCAACUGACCGCUCCCAAAUUGAACUGACCACCACCCCUGGGUGUGAGUGACCCUCCCCAGCCCAAAUGACCACUCCCACAUUUAACUGACCACUCCCAAAUUUAACUGACCACUCCCAAAUUUAACUGACCAUCACCCCUGGGUUUGAGUGACCAUCCCCAACCCAACUGACCACUCCCAAAUUUAACUGACCACUCCCAAAUUCAAAUUUAACUGACCACUCCAACCCCAAACUGACCACUCCCACCCCAAAGUGACCACUCCCACCCCAAAGUGACCACUCCCACAUUUAACUGACCACCACCCCUGGGUCUGAGUGACCCUCCCCAGCCCAACUGACCACUCCAACCCCAAAGUGACCACUCCCAAAUUUAACUGACCACUCCCAAAUUUAACUGACCACUCCCAAAUUUAACUGACCACCACCCCUGUGUCUGAGUGACCCUCCCCAGUCCAAAUGACCACUCCAACCCCAAAGUGACCACUCCCAAAUUUAACUGACCACCACCCCCGGGUCUGAAUGACCCUCCCCAGCCCAACUGACCACUCCCAAAUUUAACUGACCAUCACCCCUGUGUCUGAGUGACCCUCCCCAGCCCAAAUGACCACUCCAACCCCAAAGUGACCACUCCCAAAUUGAACUGACCACCACCCCUGGGUGUGAGUGACCCUCCCCAGCCCAACUGACCACUCCCAAACCCAACUGACCACUCCCAAAUUUAAGCGACCACUCCCAAACCCAACUGACCACUCCCAAACUUAACUGACCACCACCCCUGUGUCUGAGUGACCCUCCCCAGCCCAACUGACCACUCCCACCCCACACUGACCACUCCCAAAUUUAACUGACCGUUCCCAAAUGUAACUGACCAUCACCCCUAGGUCUGAGUGACCCUCCCCAGCCCAAAUGACCACUCCCAAAUUUAACUGACCACUCCCAAAUUGAACUGACCAUCACCCCUGGGUGUGAGUGACCCUCCCCAGCCCGAGUGACCGCUCCCAAAUUUAACUGACCACUCCCAAAUUGAACUGACCACCACCCCUGGGUGUGAGUGACCCUCCCCAGCCCGAGUGACCGCUCCCAAAUUUAACUGACCACUCCCNAAAAUCCCACAAAAAAUGGCCCUAAAAUGGCCCUAAAAUGGCCCUGAGUGGCCACUCAGUGACCACUGACCACUGAGUGACCAAAACCACAAAAAUCCCCAAAAAAAUCCCCCAAAAAAUCCCUAAAAUGACUCUGAGUGACCACUGAGUAACCACACUGACCAUCAACUAACCAGUGAGCACAAUGACCACUGACUGACCACUGAGUGACCAAAAACCCAAAAAUCCUUAAGAAAAUCCACCAAAAAAUGGCCCUAAAAUGGCCCUAAAAUGACCCUGAGUGGCCACUGAGUGACCACUGACCACUGAGUGACCAAAAAUACAAAAAUCCCCAAAAAAAUCCCCCCAAAAAUGGCCCUAAAAUGACCCUGAGUGACCACUGAGUGACCACCCUGACCCCACCAAACUUUGAUGACCACCAAGACCAAGACUGACCACAAUAAACCCCAUACUUUGAUGACCA
This 2159-nucleotide long non-coding RNA is filed under the name Zonotrichia albicollis (white-throated sparrow). Its description in RNAcentral is "lncRNA (ENSZALG00000002131.1)". The record is from RNAcentral. Lineage: Eukaryota; Metazoa; Chordata; Aves; Passeriformes; Passerellidae.